RNAcentral lists this ribosomal RNA (484 nucleotides) under uncultured bacterium. RNAcentral's name for it is "partial 16S ribosomal RNA". It matches the Rfam family "Bacterial small subunit ribosomal RNA", at positions 30 to 507 of the family's 1533-position model. The record is from RNAcentral.
AUUGAACGGUAGCGGGAUUCGUUACACAUGCAAGUCGAACGGGAGCGGGGACUGUGUUCUUGCGGCGGGGGGCGAACUGGGGAGUAAUGUAUCGGAACGUGCCCAGUAGCUGAGGAUAACUACGCUAAAGCGUAGCUAAUACCGCGUACGCGCUACUGGGGAAAGCAUGUGAUCGUAAGACCUUUCACUAUUGGAGCGGCCGAUAUCGAAUUCGCUGGUUGGUGAGGUAACGGCUCACCAAGGCGCCGAUGCGUAGCUGGUUUUAGAGGACGACCAGCCACACUGGGACUGAGACACGGCCCAGACUCCGAGGGGAGGCAGCAGUGGGGAAUUUUGGACCAUGGGGGCAACCCUGAUCCAGCCAUCCCGCGUGUGCGAUGCUGGCCCUCGGGUUGUAAAGCACUUUUGGCAGGAAAGAAACGUCGCGGGUUAAUACAGCGUGGCACUGACGGUACCUGAACAAUAAGCACCGGCUAACUACGUG